GGAAGGACUAGGCUACUUUUAGAUUUACACUUUAUCCCUCCAUAGUAUUUCCUCCAUAGUAUUUGCUUUACAUGCGUGGUUUAAUAGUUUAAAAUAUUUUCCUUUUCAAUCAUGAACAUAAUUAUAAAGACAUCGUAUGUAAGCAUCCAUGCGUAAAGAUCAACCCGUACAGACUUGUUUGAAUUAAUGUGUUGCGCCAUUCGGAGAUGUGCUUAGCCUACUCUGUAAUUUAACCAGUUUCUGUUUCUACUGUGUGCAUAAGGGCCCAAAGUGGCAUUUGUAUUUAUACCGUGCAUCAAUUAUAUUUUGUGCACACAUCCAGAUACUCAGCUCGUUUGUGUGAUUACUUUUUUUAGGGACGGGAGAGAUUCUCUGAUUAUUUAUUUGAAUGGUGGUGGACAGGUCGCGGUUAUCCGGACAGGAGCCUAUUACGCCCUGUCUUAAAUCGCUGGAUAACAAAGUAGUCUUACUAUCCUUCUCUUCCUUUUCAAUCACUUCCUCCUCCUCCUCUUCUACUCCUUCCAUCCCCUCAUCCAUCUCUCUCCUCUUCCACCACACACAUCCCUCCCCUCUCCUGUAGUACCUCAUUCGCCUCCCCCCCUCUGCAGUGAUGGCGGCAUGUCUCCUCUUUUUCUUUCUUCUCAACUACCACUUUAAUUCCUUGCCUCUCCUCCUCUUCCUCGACCUCUGUAAGCUCCGUUUCCAGUUUUCUCAGCUCCAGGGGGUCUCAGGCUGUGCAGGCAAGGGCCUGGAUCGGGGCAGAGGGGGCAGACUGGCCUGAGGAAGAGAGAGGGUCCGGGAUGGGACAGAG
Molecule: long non-coding RNA, 811 nt
Filed under: Salmo salar (Atlantic salmon)
Lineage: Eukaryota; Metazoa; Chordata; Actinopteri; Salmoniformes; Salmonidae
Description: lncRNA (ENSSSAG00000105387.1)
Source: RNAcentral